RNAcentral lists this ribosomal RNA (465 nucleotides) under uncultured Klebsiella sp. Its description in RNAcentral is "bacterial SSU rRNA". It matches the Rfam family "Bacterial small subunit ribosomal RNA", at positions 338 to 795 of the family's 1533-position model. The record is from RNAcentral. Lineage: Bacteria; Pseudomonadati; Pseudomonadota; Gammaproteobacteria; Enterobacterales; Enterobacteriaceae.
CCUACGGGUGGCAGCAGUGGGGAAUAUUGCACAAUGGGCGCAAGCCUGAUGCAGCCAUGCCGCGUGUGUGAAGAAGGCCUUCGGGUUGUAAAGCACUUUCAGCGGGGAGGAAGGCGUUAAGGUUAAUAACCUUGUCGAUUGACGUUACCCGCAGAAGAAGCACCGGCUAACUCCGUGCCAGCAGCCGCGGUAAUACGGAGGGUGCAAGCGUUAAUCGGAAUUACUGGGCGUAAAGCGCACGCAGGCGGUCUGUCAAGUCGGAUGUGAAAUCCCCGGGCUCAACCUGGGAACUGCAUUCGAAGCUGGCAGGCUAGAGUCUUGUAGAGGGGGGUAGAAUUCCAGGUGUAGCGGUGAAAUGCGUAGAGAUCUGGAGGAAUACCGGUGGCGAAGGCGGCCCCCUGGACAAAGACUGACGCUCAGGUGCGAAAGCGUGGGGAGCAAACAGGAUUAGAUACCCUUGUAGUC